This 262-nucleotide ribosomal RNA is filed under the name uncultured bacterium. RNAcentral's name for it is "partial 16S ribosomal RNA". It matches the Rfam family "Bacterial small subunit ribosomal RNA", at positions 92 to 354 of the family's 1533-position model. The record is from RNAcentral.
UUAGUGGCGGACGGGUGAGUAACGCGUGGGUAACCUGGCCCAUACCGGGGGAUACCACCUGGAAACAGGUGCUAAUACCGCAUAAGCGCACGGGAGCGCAUGCUCCUGUGUGAAAAACUCCGGUGGUAUGGGAUGGACCCGCGUCUGAUUAGCCAGUUGGCAGGGUAACGGCCUACCAAAGCGACGAUCAGUAGCCGGCCUGAGAGGGUGGACGGCCACAUUGGGACUGAGACACGGCCCAAACUCCUACGGAAGGCAGCAG